GCCCCUGUGACGGAACUGGAAUACGUGCUGGUCUUAGAAACCAGAUUUUGUGGGUUCGAUUCCCACCGGGGGCACCA
RNAcentral lists this transfer RNA (77 nucleotides) under Nodosilinea foveolarum. Its description in RNAcentral is "tRNA-Leu". It matches the Rfam family "tRNA". Rfam says of the family: Transfer RNA (tRNA) molecules are approximately 80 nucleotides in length. Their secondary structure includes four short double-helical elements and three loops (D, anti-codon, and T loops). Further hydrogen bonds mediate the characteristic L-shaped molecular structure. tRNAs have two regions of fundamental functional importance: the anti-codon, which is responsible for specific mRNA codon recognition, and the 3' end, to which the tRNAs corresponding amino acid is attached (by aminoacyl-tRNA synthetases). tRNAs cope with the degeneracy of the genetic code in two manners: having more than one tRNA (with a specific anti-codon) for a particular amino acid; and 'wobble' base-pairing, i.e. permitting non-standard base-pairing at the 3rd anti-codon position. Lineage: Bacteria; Bacillati; Cyanobacteriota; Cyanophyceae; Nodosilineales; Nodosilineaceae. The record is from RNAcentral.